This 253-nucleotide ribosomal RNA is filed under the name uncultured bacterium. RNAcentral describes it as "partial 16S ribosomal RNA". It matches the Rfam family "Bacterial small subunit ribosomal RNA", at positions 524 to 776 of the family's 1533-position model. The record is from RNAcentral.
UACAGAGGGUGCGAACGUUGCUCGGAAUUACUGGGCGUAAAGCGCGUGCAGGCGGCCUCCCACGUCGGGUGUGAAAGCCCGGGGCUCAACCCCGGAAGCGCGCCGGAAACGAGGGGGCUGGAGGGCUGGAGAGGCGGGCGGAAUUCCCGGUGUAGAGGUGAAAUUCGUAGAUAUCGGGAGGAACACCGGUGGCGAAGGCGGCCCGCUGGACAGCGCCUGACGCUGAGACGCGAAAGCGUGGGUAGCAAACAGG